Molecule: non-coding RNA, 72 nt
Organism: Phrynosoma platyrhinos (Desert horned lizard)
Lineage: Eukaryota; Metazoa; Chordata; Lepidosauria; Squamata; Phrynosomatidae
Source: the annotation of a GenBank genome assembly
GGCCAAUGUGGUAUAGUGAUUUGAACCUCGGACUAUGACUCUGGAGGCAUGGGUUCAAAUCUCCAUCAGCCA